UCCCUGGUGGCUCAGACGGUAAAGCAUCUGCCUGCAAUGCAGUAGUCCUGGGUUCGAUUCCUGGGUCGGGAA
Molecule: transfer RNA, 72 nt
Filed under: Bos taurus (domestic cattle)
Lineage: Eukaryota; Metazoa; Chordata; Mammalia; Artiodactyla; Bovidae
Also listed under: 2 other names
Rfam family: tRNA
About the family: Transfer RNA (tRNA) molecules are approximately 80 nucleotides in length. Their secondary structure includes four short double-helical elements and three loops (D, anti-codon, and T loops). Further hydrogen bonds mediate the characteristic L-shaped molecular structure. tRNAs have two regions of fundamental functional importance: the anti-codon, which is responsible for specific mRNA codon recognition, and the 3' end, to which the tRNAs corresponding amino acid is attached (by aminoacyl-tRNA synthetases). tRNAs cope with the degeneracy of the genetic code in two manners: having more than one tRNA (with a specific anti-codon) for a particular amino acid; and 'wobble' base-pairing, i.e. permitting non-standard base-pairing at the 3rd anti-codon position.
Source: Rfam by way of RNAcentral